This 142-nucleotide ribosomal RNA is filed under the name Nasutixalus jerdonii (Jerdon's tree frog). Its description in RNAcentral is "partial 16S ribosomal RNA". The record is from RNAcentral. Lineage: Eukaryota; Metazoa; Chordata; Amphibia; Anura; Rhacophoridae.
GCCAAAAACCUAGCCUAUAUAUUUUUACACAUAAAACAUUUUUACUCUUUAGUAGAGGUGAUCGAAAAAUACCUUAAGCGCUUAAGAAAUAGUACCGCAAGGGAAAAGUGAAAUAAAAAUUAAAUAAAUCUAAAGCCCCAGA